UUUCCGUAGGUGAACCUGCGGAAGGAUCAUUAAAAAAUAUCACUUGAUUGAGAGUGAUUUAAUAAUCAUCCUACCCUUUGUGAAUUUGUUGUUUGUAAUAAUUUUUUUUUGACGUUAUAAAAAAAAAUUAUUUAUGGUUUUGUCUAUCCCUAAAUUGGUUUGUUGUAGACAAGUGAAUCAAUUUAGGGAAUAGGCUUUCAUAAAUAAUGAUUUUUUUUCAAAGUCUUAAAGACCUUUUUUAAAAUUAAACUUUUGUAUUCAUUUGUCUAAAUUUUUUUAAAUAAUUUAAAAACAACUUUUGACAAUGGAUCUCUUGGUUCUCGCAACGAUGAAGAACGCAGCAAAAUGCGAUAAGUAAUGUGAAUUGCAGAAUACGUGAAUCAUCAAAUCUUCGAACGCAUAUUGCACUUUUUUAGUUUACUAAAAAAGUAUGUCUGUUUGAGUAUCAGUAAAAUAUUCUCAUAAAAACAUUUUUUGUUUUUAUGGUUAUGAGUGUCUUACAACGAUAAACAAGUUGUUUCACUUUAAAUUCAUUUUAAUUUAAGACCAUUUAUGGUUUUAAUAAAAAAUUGGAUAAAAUUUUCCCGUAAAAAGGAAUAAACUUUUCAGUUUUUUAAUUAUUACCAACAACGGUCCGAUUUAAAAGGAAAUUUAUUUAAAUAACUUGAUCUCAAAUCAGAUAAGAGUACCCGCUGAACUUAAGCAUAUCAAUAAGCGGAGGAAAAGAAACUAACAAGGAUUCCCUUAGUAACGGCGAGUGAAGCGGGAAGAGCUCAAAUUUGAAAUCUUCAAGGUUCUACCUUGACGAAUUGUAGUUUAAAGAAGUGUUUUCUGUUAGAUGAGUAGCAAAAGUUCCUUGGAAUGGGACAUCGUAGAGGGUGAGAAUCCCGUAUUUGGUUAUUCAUUCUAGCUUUGUGAUACACUUUCAAAGAGUCGGAUUGUUUGGGAAUGCAGUCCAAAAUGGGUGGUAAAUUUCAUCUAAAGCUAAAUAUUGGCGAGAGACCGAUAGCGAACAAGUACCGUGAGGGAAAGACGAAAGAACUUUGAAAAGAGAGUUAAACAGUACGUGAAACUGUCAAAAGGGAAGCGUUUGACACCAGUGUUGUUUUUCCAAAAAUCAAUUACGAAUGGCUUGAUUUUGUGUUGUAUUGACCUUAUCAGCUUCUGCACUUUUUUCGAGUCUUUCUUAAUGCACUUUUUGGUUAACAAGUCAACAUCAAUUUCUUUUGUUGUAAAAGAGUAUUCGGAAGGUGGCUUCUUUUCGGAGAAAGUGUUUAUAGCCCUAUACUUCUACAAUCGGAGAGAUUGAGGUCUGCAGCGUAGAUCCUUCGGGGUUAGAUACACUUGUGCUAAGUUGUAGCUUUUCAUAGACAACUUGUUGACUAUGUUUAGUCAUGCGGCUUACUCGCUUGUGCUAUUU
This 1420-nucleotide unclassified non-coding RNA is filed under the name uncultured Neocallimastigales. RNAcentral describes it as "partial contains small subunit ribosomal RNA, internal transcribed spacer 1, 5.8S ribosomal RNA, internal transcribed spacer 2, and large subunit ribosomal RNA". The stretch from base 666 to 1420 matches the Rfam family "Eukaryotic large subunit ribosomal RNA", at positions 1 to 617 of the family's 3401-position model. The record is from RNAcentral. Lineage: Eukaryota; Fungi; Neocallimastigomycota; Neocallimastigomycetes; Neocallimastigales.